Molecule: ribosomal RNA, 424 nt
Filed under: uncultured bacterium
Lineage: Bacteria
Description: partial 16S ribosomal RNA
Rfam family: Bacterial small subunit ribosomal RNA
Source: RNAcentral
AAUAUUGGACAAUGGGGGGAACCCUGAUCCAGCCAUGCCGCGUGUGUGAAGAAGGUCUUCGGAUUGUAAAGCACUUUAAGUUGGGAGGAAGAGUUGUAGGCUAAUACCUUGCAAUUUUGACGUUACCAACAGAAUAAGCACCGGCUAACUUCGUUCCAGCAGCCGCGGUAAUACGAAGGGUGCAAGCGUUAAUCGGAAUUACUGGGCGUAAAGCGCGCGUAGGUGGUUCGUUAAGUUGGAAGUGAAAGCCCCGGGCUUAACCUGGGAAUUGCUUUCAAAACUGACGAGCUAGAGUACGGUAGAGGGUAGUGGAAUUUCCUGUGUAGCGGUGAAAUGCGUAGAUAUAGGAAGGAACACCAGUGGCGAAGGCGACCACCUGGGCUAAUACUGACGCUCAGACACGAAAGCGUGGGGAGCAAACAGG